This 471-nucleotide ribosomal RNA is filed under the name uncultured bacterium. Its description in RNAcentral is "bacterial SSU rRNA". It matches the Rfam family "Bacterial small subunit ribosomal RNA", at positions 28 to 470 of the family's 1533-position model. The record is from RNAcentral.
GACGAACGCUGGCGGCGUGCUUAACACAUGCAAGUCGAACGAGACGAUUUAGAAGCUUGCUUUUAAUGAGUCGAGUGGCAAACGGGUGAGUAACGCGUAGACAACCUGCCGCAAAGAUGGGGACAACAGUCCGAAAGGACUGCUAAUACCGAAUGUUGUAUCUCCUCUGCAUGGAAGAGAUAUUAAAGAUGGCCUCUACUUGUAAGCUAUCGCUUUGCGAUGGGUCUGCGUCUGAUUAGCUAGUUGGUGGGGCAACGGCCUACCAAGGCGACGAUCAGUAGCCGGUCUGAGAGGAUGAACGGCCACAUUGGAACUGAGACACGGUCCAGACUCCUACGGGAGCAGCAGUGGGAAUCUCCGCAACUGGCGAAAGCCUGACGGAGCAACGCCGCGUGAGUGAAGAAGGUCUUCGGGAUCGUAAAGCUCUGUUGUCGGGGACGAAUGUUGAGAUCUAGAAUAUAGAUUUCAAAU